CAGUCGCCGCGGUAAAACGAAGGGUGCAAGCGUUAAUCGGAAUUACUGGGCGUAAAGCGUGCGUAGGCGGUUUGUUAAGUCUGCUGUGAAAUCCCCGGGCUCAACCUGGGAAUGGCAGUGGAUACUGGCAAGCUAGAGUGUGUCAGAGGAUGGUGGAAUUCCCGGUGUAGCGGUGAAAUGCGUAGAGAUCGGGAGGAACAUCAGUGGCGAAGGCGGCCAUCUGGGACAACACUGACGCUGAGGCACGAAAGCGUGGGGAGCAAACAGGAUUAGAUACCCCGGUAGUCCCUGUCUCUUAUAC
Molecule: ribosomal RNA, 301 nt
Filed under: uncultured bacterium
Lineage: Bacteria
Description: partial 16S ribosomal RNA
Rfam family: Bacterial small subunit ribosomal RNA
Source: RNAcentral